CCUACGGUGCGCAGCAGUCGAGAAUCAUUCACAAUGGGGGCAACCCUGAUGGUGCGACGCCGCGUGGGGGAAUGAAGGUCUUCGGAUUGUAAACCCCUGUCAUGUGGGAGCAAAUUAACAAGAUAGUACAACAAGCGGCAGAGACGGCUAUCUCUGUACCAGCAGCCGCGGUAAUACAGAGGUCGCAAGCGUGGUCCGGAAUCACUGGGCGUAAAGCGUGUGUAGGCUGUUUCGUAAGUCGUGUGUGAAAGGCGCGGGCUCAACCCGCGGACGGCACAUGAUACUGCGAGACUAGAGUAAGGGAGGGGGAAGCGGAAGUCUCGGUGUAGCAGUGAAAUGCGUAGAUAUCGAGAGGAACACUCGUGGCGAAGGCGGGUUCCUGGACAUUAACUGACGCUGAGGCACGAAGGCCAGGGGAGCGAAAGGGAUUAGAUACCCCUGUAGUC
RNAcentral lists this ribosomal RNA (446 nucleotides) under uncultured bacterium. RNAcentral describes it as "partial 16S ribosomal RNA". It matches the Rfam family "Bacterial small subunit ribosomal RNA", at positions 338 to 795 of the family's 1533-position model. The record is from RNAcentral.